GAUGAACGCUGGCGGCGUGCUUAACACAUGCAAGUCGAACGGUGAAGGCGGAGCUUGCUCUGCUGGAUCAGUGGCGAACGGGUGAGUAACACGUGAGCAAUCUGCCCCUGACUCUGGGAUAAGCGCUGGAAACGGCGUCUAAUACUGGAUACGAGCUGCGAAGGCAUCUUCAGCAGCUGGAAAGAACUUCGGUCAGGGAUGAGCUCGCGGCCUAUCAGCUUGUUGGUGAGGUAACGGCUCACCAAGGCGUCGACGGGUAGCCGGCCUGAGAGGGUGACCGGCCACACUGGGACUGAGACACGGCCCAGACUCCUACGGGAGGCAGCAGGGGGGAAUAUUGCACAAUGGGCGAAAGCCUGAUGCAGCAACGCCGCGUGAGGGACGACGGCCUUCGGGUUGUAAACCUCUUUUAGCAGGGAAGAAGCGAAAGUGACGGUACCUGCAGAAAAAGCGCCGGCUAACUACG
Molecule: ribosomal RNA, 466 nt
Filed under: uncultured bacterium
Lineage: Bacteria
Description: partial 16S ribosomal RNA
Rfam family: Bacterial small subunit ribosomal RNA
Source: RNAcentral